This 646-nucleotide ribosomal RNA is filed under the name Eurotiales sp. Rco015ITS1. RNAcentral's name for it is "eukaryotic LSU rRNA". The stretch from base 171 to 323 matches the Rfam family "5.8S ribosomal RNA". The record is from RNAcentral. Lineage: Eukaryota; Fungi; Ascomycota; Eurotiomycetes; Eurotiales.
UGAGGGCCCUUUGGGUCCAACCUCCCACCCGUGUUUAUUUACCUCGUUGCUUCGGCGGGCCCGCCUUAACUGGCCGCCGGGGGGCUCACGCCCCCGGGCCCGCGCCCGCCGAAGACACCCCCGAACUCUGCCUGAAGAUUGGCGUCUGAGUGAAAAUAUAAAUUAUUUAAAACUUUCAACAACGGAUCUCUUGGUUCCGGCAUCGAUGAAGAACGCAGCGAAAUGCGAUACCUAAUGUGAAUUGCAAAUUCAGUGAAUCAUCGAGUCUUUGAACGCACAUUGCGCCCCCUGGUAUUCCGGGGGGCAUGCCUGUCCCAGCGUCAUUGCUGCCCUCAAGCCCGGCUUGUGUGUUGGGCCCCGUCCUCCGAUUCCGGGGGACGGGCCCGAAAGGCAGCGGCGGCACCGCGUCCGGUCCUCGAGCGUAUGGGGCUUUGUCACCCGCUCUGUAGGCCCGGCCGGCGCUUGCCGAUCAACCCAAAUUUUUAUCCAGGUUGACCUCGGAUCAGGUAGGGAUACCCGCUGAACUUAAGCAUAUCAAUAAGCGGAGGAAAAGACCAACAGGGAUUGCCCUUCGAGUGAACCUCUCCCGCUGUUUAUUUGAACCUCGGUGCUUCCGGGGGCCGCCUUACUGGGGCCCAGAGGAUGC